RNAcentral lists this ribosomal RNA (106 nucleotides) under uncultured Staphylococcus sp. RNAcentral's name for it is "partial 16S ribosomal RNA". It matches the Rfam family "Bacterial small subunit ribosomal RNA", at positions 338 to 444 of the family's 1533-position model. Lineage: Bacteria; Bacillati; Bacillota; Bacilli; Caryophanales; Staphylococcaceae. The record is from RNAcentral.
CCUACGGGAGGCAGCAGUAGGGAAUCUUCCGCAAUGGGCGAAAGCCUGACGGAGCAACGCCGCGUGAUUGAUGAAGGUCUUCGGAUCGUAAACUCUGUUAUUAGGG